AUGACCGUUAGCUGGUCUGAGAGGAUUGAUCAAGCCGCGAUGGGACUUGAGACACGGCCCAUACUCCUACGGGAGGCAGCAGUAAGGAAUCUUCCACCAUGGGCGUAAGCCUGAUGGAGCAACACCGCGUGGUCGAUGAAGCCCUUCGGGGUGCAAAGACCUUUUCUGAGAGAAGAACUCCUGACGGUAUCUUAGGAAUAAGCACCGGCUAACUCCGUGCCAGCAGCCGCGGUAAUACGGAGGGUGCAAGCGUUACCCGGAAUCAUUGGGCGUAAAGCGUCCGCAGGCGGUUUGCUAAGUAAGAUGUUAAAUUUUGCAGCUCAACUGUAAAACUAUAUCUUAAACUGGCUGACUAGAGUAUUGGAGAGGUGAGUAGAAUUCUGUGUGUAGGGGUAAAAUCCGUAGAUACACAGAGGAAUACCAAAAGCGAAGGCAGCUCACUGGCCAAUUACUGACGCUCAUGGACGAAAGCGUGGGGAGCAAACGGGAUUAGAUACCCCGGUAGUCCACGCCGUAAACGAUGGAUACUAGGUGUUGGGAGACUCGACCCUCUCAGUGCCGACGCUAACGCAUUAAGUAUCCCGCCUGGGGAGUACUGGUCGCUAGAUUAGACCUCCUCAGGCAUAGACGGGGACCCACACAAGCGGUGGAGCAUGUGGUGUCAUUCGAUGAUAAGCGAGGUACUUUACCCAGACUUGACAUCCCGACCAUUUUCUAGUUAUAGAAAAGUGCCGCAAGGUCACUCGGUGACAGGUGCUGCAUGGUUGUCGUCAGCUCGUGCCUUGAGGUGUUCGGUUAAGUCCGUGUAACGAGCGCAACCCUUGUCUUGCGUUGUAUGUUUCACAAGAGACUGCCGACUUUAAGUCGGAGGAAGGUAAGGAUGACGUCUAAAUCAGCAUGGCCCUUAUGUCUGGGGCUACACACGUGCUACAAUGGCCGGUACAGAGGGCAGCAAAUCCGCAAGGAGGAGCCAAUCCCUAAAACCGGUCCAAGUUCGGAUUGAGGGCUGCAACUCGCCCUCAUGAAGCUGGAAUCGCUAGUAACCGCGUAUCAGCAAUGGCGCGGUGAAUAUGUUCCUGGGUCUUGUACUCACCGCCCGUCACGUCAUGAAAGGUGGGGGCACCCGAAGUACCGUUAGUUUUCGGACGCGGUCCUAAGGUGAAAC
RNAcentral lists this ribosomal RNA (1165 nucleotides) under uncultured bacterium. RNAcentral describes it as "bacterial SSU rRNA". It matches the Rfam family "Bacterial small subunit ribosomal RNA", at positions 276 to 1468 of the family's 1533-position model. The record is from RNAcentral.